Molecule: ribosomal RNA, 427 nt
Filed under: uncultured bacterium
Lineage: Bacteria
Description: partial 16S ribosomal RNA
Rfam family: Bacterial small subunit ribosomal RNA
Source: RNAcentral
UGGGGAAUAUUGGACAAUGGGCGAAAGCCUGAUCCAGCCAUGCCGCGUGUGUGAAGAAGGUCUUCGGAUUGUAAAGCACUUUAAGUUGGGAGGAAGGGCAGUAAGUUAAUACCUUGCUGCUUUGACGUCACCGACAGAAUAAGCACCGGCUAACUCUGUGCCAGCAGCCGCGGUAAUACAGAGGGUGCAAGCGUUAAUCGGAAUUACUGGGCGUAAAGCGCGCGUAGGUGGUUUGUUAAGUUGGAUGUGAAAGCCCCGGGCUCAACCUGGGAACUGCAUCCAAAACUGGCAAGCUAGAGUACGGUAGAGGGUGGUGGAAUUUCCUGUGUAGCGGUGAAAUGCGUAGAUAUAGGAAGGAACACCAGUGGCGAAGGCGACCACCUGGACUGAUACUGACACUGAGGUGCGAAAGCGUGGGGAGCAAACA